RNAcentral lists this long non-coding RNA (346 nucleotides) under Gallus gallus (chicken). Lineage: Eukaryota; Metazoa; Chordata; Aves; Galliformes; Phasianidae. The record is from RNAcentral.
AUUUCUUUUGCAACUUGAUCAAUGGGCUUGGGUAUGCAAGAUCGUGAUAUUUCAAUAUCACUUGGAACAGGCAUCUUUAGGGUAAGUUGGUUGUAUUGGAUGUUCCAUUUUCCAGGCUGGAAUUUCUCCAGAAAACGCUGUGCGCUCUCCACUGUACUCUGCAUUAACAUGGCCACAGUCAUUGGUCCAACACCACCAGGAACUGGGGUAAUGUAAGAAGCUUUCUCUUUUGCUGUUGCAUAUGCCACAUCUCCUACAACUCUUUUUCCACUGGCCUUUGUGCUAUCUGGCACAUGGUUAAUUCCACAGUCUAUUACAAUUGCACCAGGUUUGAUCCAUUCACCUU